GUGCCAGCAGCCGCGGUAAUACGAAGGGUGCAAGCGUUGUUCGGAUUUAUUGGGCGUAAAGCGCGCGCAGGCGGAUUGGUAAGUCAGAUGUGAAAUCUCGGGGCCCAACCCCGAAACUGCGUCUGAAACUGUCGAUCUAGAAUAUCGGAGAGGGAAGGAGAAUUUCGCAUGUAGGGGUAAAAUCCGUAGAGAUGCGAAGGAAUACCAGAGGGGAAACCGCCUUCCUGGAAGAGUAUUGACGCUGAGGCGCGAAAGCGUGGGGAGCAAACAGGAUUAGAUACCCUGGUAGUCCACGCCGUAAACGAUGAGCACUAGAUGUUGCGGGAGUUUGACCCCCGCAGUAUCGCAGCUAACGCAUUAAGUGCUCCGCCUGGGGAGUACGGUCGCAAGACUAAAACUCAAAUAAAUUGACGG
RNAcentral lists this ribosomal RNA (414 nucleotides) under uncultured bacterium. RNAcentral describes it as "bacterial SSU rRNA". It matches the Rfam family "Bacterial small subunit ribosomal RNA", at positions 505 to 916 of the family's 1533-position model. The record is from RNAcentral.